Molecule: ribosomal RNA, 215 nt
Filed under: Campeiostachys nutans
Lineage: Eukaryota; Viridiplantae; Streptophyta; Magnoliopsida; Poales; Poaceae
Description: Elymus nutans partial small subunit ribosomal RNA
Rfam family: Eukaryotic small subunit ribosomal RNA (bases 38-215)
Source: RNAcentral
GGGUUAGUAGGUUGGUCAUGCCUCUGGUAUGUACUGGUCUCACUGAUUCCUCCUUCUGAACAACCAGCAUGCUAUUAAUUUGGUGUUUUGGGGAAUUUGGACUGUUACUUUGAAAGAAUUAGAGUGUUUAAAGCAAGCUAACGCUUGAAUACAUUAGCAUGGAAUAAUGAAAUAGGACGUUCGAUCCUAUUUUGUUGGUUUCUAGGAUUGACGUA